AUCAAAGAUGGAUCUGCAAACCUCAGUUUUUCUUCUGUUCGUUCUUUUCACUGCAGGACACUCUCUCAGAUGUUAUGAGUGAGUGAUUUCUUGUGAAAAUCAAAAUGUGACAACAUGUCCCAGUGGAUCUUCCAAGUGCAGGAGUUUAACAAUAGUGGCACAAGUUGGUCCCAUUAAGGUGUCCACCAUAAGUAAAGGGUGUGUUCCUACAUGUGAAGCUGGGAUCCCGACUGGAGGGACAGUAACCCAGUGCUGUGACACUGACCUCUGCAAUGCAGCAGAUGGCGUGUAUAAGGGGAGCUUCCUCCUGCUGUUGUCUCCUCUGCUCUUCUACUUCCUGUUCCAGUGAGUCCAGCUGCACUUCAGAUUCAAGAGCUGCAGCAGAAACUGAACAUCACACACAUUUCUAGUCAUGCUCUAUUGAAUAAAGUGUACAUGAUGUUCUGCUGUUCUUUAGUAUGAUGAUUUGAGGGAUGGAAAUCUGUAUUUUUACUAAACAUAUUAAAAUAGUGCAUCAACUAGUGUAACACACAAAUAAUAAUAAAAGAAAAAAAAAGAAUAUAUGAUAAUGAGUUUACAAUAUCUGUAGUAAUUUUGUAGAGUAAUAAUAUUUGCAGUUAAGACUAUACAUUUCCUUUAUA
Molecule: long non-coding RNA, 641 nt
Organism: Cyprinus carpio (common carp)
Lineage: Eukaryota; Metazoa; Chordata; Actinopteri; Cypriniformes; Cyprinidae
Exons: 4
Source: RefSeq, a predicted model, not a curated record